UACAGAGGUCCCGAGCGUUGUUCGGAUUCAUUGGGCGUAAAGGGUGCGUAGGCGGGGAGGUAAGUUUGAUGUGAAAUCCUGGGGCUCAACCCUGGAACUGCAUUGAAUACUGCUUUCCUAGAGUACUGGAGAGGAAACUGGAAUUUACGGUGUAGCAGUGAAAUGCGUAGAGAUCGUAAGGAAGACCAGUGGCGAAGGCGAGUUUCUGGACAGUUACUGACGCUGAGGCACGAAGGCUAGGGGAGCAAACGGG
This 253-nucleotide ribosomal RNA is filed under the name uncultured bacterium. RNAcentral's name for it is "partial 16S ribosomal RNA". It matches the Rfam family "Bacterial small subunit ribosomal RNA", at positions 524 to 776 of the family's 1533-position model. The record is from RNAcentral.